UUCAUGAGAUUGCAAUUAUGCUCUUACAUUAAAACUAAAGCUUUCUCCUGCUUACAGCUCUGUGAACCAGAAAGUUGGGGCAUAGAAGCGUGAAAUCAUUGAACUACACUUGUCUAUUUGCAAUUAGUUUAGAUCACUGGAAGAACAAAAGAGAUUCAUUUUCUUAACUGCAACACUGUGAAUCUGUAGGAACCAAUGUUUUAUCAAUUUCCCAUAACCCUUCUUAAUGAAAGUUGAGAGGAUCAAGGCUUUUUCCUGCACAGCUAGUAUGAAGAUUAAGAUGGACAAAGACAGAAAGUAUGUAGUCUUCUGGGAUCACUACUUUAUCUCAAAGAAACAGAAAGCUUUCUAAGGAUUAAGAAGCCUUAAUGUCUGUGAGAGUCUCAACUGACAUGAAAAAUUACCAGAUGAAGUUUUGGCUUCUUGUUCUCUAUAUUUUAGUGGCUCCUGAAUUUGUACAAAACAAGGAGGCCCUCAGAUCAACAUAUAUUAAUACCCCCA
Molecule: long non-coding RNA, 501 nt
Filed under: Coturnix japonica (Japanese quail)
Lineage: Eukaryota; Metazoa; Chordata; Aves; Galliformes; Phasianidae
Description: lncRNA (ENSCJPG00005007376.1)
Source: RNAcentral